Molecule: long non-coding RNA, 151 nt
Organism: Hibiscus syriacus
Lineage: Eukaryota; Viridiplantae; Streptophyta; Magnoliopsida; Malvales; Malvaceae
Exons: 3
Source: RefSeq, a predicted model, not a curated record
AAAAGAAACCCAAAAAAAAUGAAUGUCUAUUUGUUUUGUUUACCUCAUGGGCAGAACCUGUUCGAUGGAAUUCAUCCUAUCUAAAGGACCUUUAUAAGAGCUUUGAACCUCGUUUUCCUCGCAAUCUCCACCAUCCGAGGAUCUCCCAUAC